RNAcentral lists this ribosomal RNA (253 nucleotides) under uncultured bacterium. RNAcentral describes it as "partial 16S ribosomal RNA". It matches the Rfam family "Bacterial small subunit ribosomal RNA", at positions 524 to 776 of the family's 1533-position model. The record is from RNAcentral.
UACGUAGGGUGCAAGCGUUAAUCGGAAUUACUGGGCGUAAAGCGCGCGCAGGCGGUUGGGCAAGACCGAUGUGAAAUCCCCGGGCUUAACCUGGGAAUGGCAUUGGUGACUGCACGGCUAGAGCGUGUCAGAGGGGGGUAGAAUUCCACGUGUAGCAGUGAAAUGCGUAGAGAUGUGGAGGAAUACCGAUGGCGAAGGCAGCCCCCUGGGAUAACACUGACGCUCAUGCACGAAAGCGUGGGGAGCAAACAGG